Long non-coding RNA from Etheostoma cragini (Arkansas darter), 857 nucleotides. RefSeq lists it as uncharacterized. NCBI's taxonomy places the organism in Eukaryota, Metazoa, Chordata, Actinopteri, Perciformes, Percidae. The transcript has 3 exons. The record is from RefSeq and is a predicted model, not a curated record.
CAUCCCAGCAUUGGAUGUUUGAUGAAUGGAUUUUUUAAACUUGAUGCCAAAAUACUUUUCUUUCCAUCUCAGGUCCUGUGCUUGUAAAGGAGAAAGCAGUUUCCUUGUCUGAAUCUAGAUUAACACAGGAAAUGGAUUUUGAUCAAACUGAUAUGCUCAUUUUACCACCUCCUGACCUGUACGCUUGACCAGCUGCUGAGAGAUAAUCAUAAAACAAGGACAAAAAGCAGCCAGGCAGAGGAAACAGGACUUGCCUGCUGUUGUUAUUCCUCACACCGUGACCCGUGUCAGUACACCGUAUACUGUGACAGUCACUUCUUCUUCAUGACUUAUUUACCUGGGGUCUGCAUUUUUGGAUCAGUGUGAUGAUGUAGAAGAGCAAGAUAAGGAGAUAUGUCGACGAGCGUUACACCAUCCCAGCUCUCAGAACUCUUCGUGCACCUUUUUAUUUUUUUAAUUUAAUUUUUAAACACUCGCUGUGAAACCAGAGAGGGACAGUUUGCCCGGUGGCUCUGAGUGACUUUGAAACUGCUGAUCCCAGGAAAGAGCUUACAAACUGUUGCAGACACACACACCCUGGAGGCGCUUGUAGGGAAAAUUACAAUCGUUUUUUGGCGGUGGAAAUAAGGGGAGGACAAUGGAAAAUGUUUUUUUUUUUAUCAGGUUGAGACACCCUGAGAAAAUACACAGCGGACACAUGCAGUGAAACAGUUGUACAGCAUACACUUGUUACCAGUUUACAGUGUAUUUAACAGAAAUAUAGCUGACAAACUGACAAAUGAACACAGGCUUCAUAGACUUUUAGGUCAGGUCAUCGGCAAUUAUUAAAAAUCUGUGUGGCCAGCUCUACUCCACAG